Molecule: ribosomal RNA, 253 nt
Filed under: uncultured bacterium
Lineage: Bacteria
Description: partial 16S ribosomal RNA
Rfam family: Bacterial small subunit ribosomal RNA
Source: RNAcentral
UACGGAGGGGGCUAGCGUUGUUCGGAAUUACUGGGCGUAAAGCGUACGUAGGCGGCUUUGUAAGUUAGAGGUGAAAGCCUGGGGCUCAACUCCGGAAUUGCCUUUAAGACUGCAUCGCUUGAAUCAUGGAGAGGUUAGUGGAAUUCCGAGUGUAGAGGUGAAAUUCGUAGAUAUUCGGAAGAACACCAGUGGCGAAGGCGACUAACUGGACAUGUAUUGACGCUGAGGUACGAAAGCGUGGGGAGCAAACAGG